This 329-nucleotide unclassified non-coding RNA is filed under the name soil metagenome. RNAcentral's name for it is "partial contains 5.8S ribosomal RNA, internal transcribed spacer 2, and large subunit ribosomal RNA". The stretch from base 1 to 120 matches the Rfam family "5.8S ribosomal RNA", at positions 35 to 154 of the family's 154-position model. The record is from RNAcentral.
GAUGAAGAACGCAGCGAAAUGCGAUAAGUAAUGUGAAUUGCAGAAUUCAGUGAAUCAUCGAAUCUUUGAACGCACAUUGCGCCCCCUGGUAUUCCGGGGGGCAUGCCUGUCCGAGCGUCAUUACAACCCUCAAGCUCAGCUUGGUGUUGGGCCCCGCCGCCCCGGCGGGCCCUAAAGUCAGUGGCGGUGCCGUCCGGCUCCGAGCGUAGUAAUUCUUCUCGCUCUGGAGGUCCGGUCGUGUGCUCGCCAGCAACCCCCAAUUUUUUUCAGGUUGACCUCGGAUCAGGUAGGGAUACCCGCUGAAGUUAAGCAUAUCAAUAAGCGGAGGA